Long non-coding RNA from Dermacentor albipictus, 1999 nucleotides. RefSeq lists it as uncharacterized. The record is from RefSeq and is a predicted model, not a curated record. Lineage: Eukaryota; Metazoa; Arthropoda; Arachnida; Ixodida; Ixodidae.
GAUGACAAGUCUGAGAAGGCGAUGAUUUACGGCUGCAUAGCUCAGCUGGCUUAGUCGCUCAUGCUUGGUGUGGGCGUUGUUGAGUGUUGUGCGCGUAUUCCAUGGCUUCGGGGACAAUUUUCGCUUUUCCUCAAAGACUGGUAAUGCGAAACUUCGGGACCAUGCACAUUAGUGGGGUCUUAAGAAACGACUGAGGCUGAUGAGCUGGGAUCAGGUGACAACACGGCUAUGUCGAAGAAUCGCAACACUUCUGCGGCUCUGUGGUGUAUGCCUGAAUCUUUCGGUUGCCCAACGAUAACAGACGUGAUGCGAAAUAUGAGCAACAGAAUCUACCAUUUUGCGAGGAGACUAAAGAUCGCCUACUCUGCGACCAACGGACAAGGUUGCGUCGCCGGGCCGGUGACCUCAGAAGUUCGCUGAACAAGCCGUUGUAAAGGAAUUGAUGUAUUGGGUCCCAGGGCGUCACAUGCAUGUUCUGCGACCAAGCUCUCAAAAAGACAGAGGUCGCGGUUACUGAGAAACGGAGCCAAUAUCUACAAAGCUGGACCACAUUCUUCCAUGGCAAUCUAGCCUACAGUGGAGUAGCGUACCAGGCCUGUUGCUAGGCUAACCUCUACAGAUAAAAUCAAACACUUCCCUUUCUGGCAACACAGUGUUCCUCAUAGCGAGCCGAAAUUGCAAUGUGAACUGCCUACUUGCCAGCGAAAGGAACCACAGCGUCAACAAGCGUAAGGCGGAGACUGUAUGAAGCAAUAGUUGGCGUACGAAUUUUGCCACGUGUCUCGAAAACUUCGGGAGAUAGAGGACCCUGCCGAGUAACGAGCCGUCUCGGCUUGACUUCGCGCCAAGACGAGCAAAUGCUGCGAUGCAGGAUCCAUAACCCCCAUCAAUCACGCGAAGCUAACCUGUAUCAGUCUUGCCGGUGGUCGGAGAAGAUCACCAGAGAUGUCGACGCGGACCUCCGAAGAUACGAAGAAACGGAAUGACGACAGAGAGCGUCAGCGCUAUGCAGAAAACAACGUUAGGCAUCGGCGACAGACAACAACGUACACGCGGAUGCCUUAUAAACAUGGCGUACUCACGGUUCCGACAUGAGCGUCGGACCUGCGCGAAAUUGCUCAUCAGGUUUUACAAUAUUUCUCAGGUUUGGCUGGGUGCCAACAUAGACUGUCUUAUUCGAGUUGAUAAAACUGAAAUCUUCUUAACGCAAAACUUUACUUGAAAUGGGAAUCAAUACGUGUACACGUGAGUAUUCAUUCUGAAUGUAAUAAGAGAUGUAAUGUAGGUUCGUGAUUGAUCUGCAUUACAUCUCCAAGUGCAUCGACGUCGCGCAGGACAUGUUCUCGUAAGCAUGUGGGUAUCUUGUAAGCAUGUGGGGCUGUGCCCAGGCUUCUUUGCAGCAUCAACUCGACAAAUAAAACUGUCUUACCUUGCCACGGACGAGCUAUGUUAGCGGUGUCUGCGACUGAAGCGUAAAUUGCAUUUGAUGUUUGUGUCUUUCAGUAUGUCCUUGAAGUACCUACAGAGCUCGGUUUUCUGUAUGUUUCACGAAGUGAAACAUCAACAUACGCUUUACCUCGACCUCUUUGGCUACAGUAGAACUGUCGCUACAUGGCAUGAAUAAAGGCGAUCGUCAUUUGGUCCCUACUUUGGUGCGACCCCGCAAAAGAACAGCAGGCGUGAAAAUGGCCGUGAGCAGCUCACUGUAGAGGACACACAUGAGUAUGGGAAACACAGUUUGUGAGAAAAAUUGGAUAAGCCAGGUUCUAAAAUGAUCAGAUGACUAAAUUGACCAGAUGGUAAGAGGGAGGAACGUCACAUUAUUCGCUCGUUAUUUCCACAAACGCAAUACGUCAGCACUCAGUUUCUUCUCACCUUCUUUCUUUCUUAUCUUUUUGCAGAUAUUCGCCAUCACUAGUGUUUCCACGUUUGAUUACUCCACUAAUCACCUAAUGCUAGCAUGCGUAAUCACACGUAGCCGCCUUCGCUAAAUCAUCAU